UACGAAGGGUGCAAGCGUUGUUCGGAUUUAUUGGGCGUAAAGCGCGCGCAGGCGGAUAUGAAAGUCAGGUGUGAAAUCUCGAGGCUCAACCUCGAAACUGCGCCUGAAACUCCUUAUCUAGAGUCAUCAAGGGGGAAGGGGAAUUUCACGUGUAGGGGUAAAAUCCGUAGAGAUGUGAAGGAAGACCUGAGGCGAAGGCGCCUUCCUGGUGAUGUACUGACGCUGAGGCGCGAAAGCGUGGGGAGCAAACAGG
This 253-nucleotide ribosomal RNA is filed under the name uncultured bacterium. RNAcentral's name for it is "partial 16S ribosomal RNA". It matches the Rfam family "Bacterial small subunit ribosomal RNA", at positions 524 to 776 of the family's 1533-position model. The record is from RNAcentral.